GCUAGUUGUAUUAUUAGUUAAUGCAAGAUCGACUACGUCGACUAAAGUUCUAGGUAGAAUAAUGAUGAUGACAAUUUUUUACCUAUAUGUCUUGACCAAGUCUCGUGCCAGCAGUCGCGGUAAUACGUGGAAGACUAGUGUUAUUCAUCUUUAUUAGGUUUAAAGGGUACCUAGACGGUAUUUCUAGCCCAAAAUAGGGUACGGAUUUACUAGAGUUUUAUGUGAGGAGGGGAGUACUCGUGGAGUAGAGAUGAAAUUUUGUUAUACUAUGAGGUAACUGGUGGCGGCGAAAGCAACCUUCUAUGUAUAAACUGACGUUGAGGGACGAAGGCUUGGGUAGCAAAUAGGAUUAGAUACCCUAGUAGUCCAAGCAGACAAUUCUGAAUGCCAUAGAUUAGAUUAUUUUUGGUCUAUAAAUGAAAGUGUAAGCAUUCCACCUUAGGAGUAAUGUGGCAACACAGGAACUGAAAUCAUUAGACCGUUUCUGAAACCAGUAGUGAAGUAUGUUAUUUAAAUAGAUGGUCCACAAAAAACCUUACCACAACUUGAAUAAUUUAUAGCUCAUACAAGCGUUGCACGGCUGUCUUCAGUUAAUGUCGUGAGAUUAGGUUAACUCCAUUAAUUAACGUAAACCCUUACUUUAUUUUUUUUUU
RNAcentral lists this ribosomal RNA (653 nucleotides) under Acarospora fusca. Its description in RNAcentral is "SSU rRNA". It matches the Rfam family "Bacterial small subunit ribosomal RNA", at positions 385 to 1123 of the family's 1533-position model. The record is from RNAcentral. Lineage: Eukaryota; Fungi; Ascomycota; Lecanoromycetes; Acarosporales; Acarosporaceae.